AGAGUUUGAUCAUGGCUCAGGAUGAACGCUGGCGGCGUGCUUAACACAUGCAAGUCGAACGGGGUUAAGUGAAACCUAGUGAUCUUAACUUAGUGGCGGACGGGUGAGUAACGCGUGGGUAACCUGCCGCAUGCAGGGGGACAACAGAGGGAAACUUCUGCUAAUACCGCAUAAGCGCACGGAGUCGCAUGACUCAGUGUGAAAAGAUUUGUCGGCAUGCGAUGGACCCGCGUCUGAUUAGGCAGUUGGUGAGGUAACGGCCCACCAAACCUACGAUCAGUAGCCGGCCUGAGAGGGUGAACGGCCACAUUGGGACUGAGACACGGCCCAAACUCCUACGGGAGGCAGCAGUGGGGAAUAUUGCACAAUGGGGGAAACCCUGAUGCAGCGACGCCGCGUGAGUGAAGAAGCAUUUCGGUGCGUAAAGCUCUGUCAGCAGGAAAGAAAGUGACGGUACCUGACCAAGAAGCCCCGGCUAACUACGUGCCAGCAGCCGCGGUAAUACGUAGGGGGCAAGCGUUAUCCGGAUUUACUGGGUGUAAAGGGAGCGUAGACGGCGCGGCAAGUCUGAAGUGAAAGGCGGGGGCCCAACCCCCGGACUGCUUUGGAAACUGUCAUGCUGGAGUGCGGGAGGGGCAGGCGGAAUUCCUAGUGUAGCGGUGAAAUGCGUAGAUAUUAGGAGGAACACCGGUGGCGAAGGCGGCCUGCUGGACCGUAACUGACGUUGAGGCUCGAAGGCGUGGGGAGCAAACAGGAUUAGAUACCCUGGUAGUCCACGCGGUAAACGAUGAUCACCAGGUGUCCGGGGACACGGUCCCCGGGUGCCGCAGCAAACGCAGUAAGUGAUCCACCUGGGGAGUACGUUCGCAAGAAUGAAACUCAAAGGAAUUGACGGGGACCCGCACAAGCGGUGGAGCAUGUGGUUUAAUUCGAAGCAACGCGAAGAACCUUACCCGGUCUUGACAUCCCCCCGGAUGCAGGGCAAUGCCUGCAGCCCUUCGGGGCGGGGGAGACAGGUGGUGCAUGGUUGUCGUCAGCUCGUGUCGUGAGAUGUUGGGUUAAGUCCCGCAACGAGCGCAACCCUUACGUUUAGUAGCCAGCGGUUCGGCCGGGCACUCUAGACGGACUGCCGGGGACAACCCGGAGGAAGGCGGGGAUGACGUCAAAUCAUCAUGCCCCUUAUGACCGGGGCUACACACGUGCUACAAUGGCGUAAACAAAGGGAGGCGAGGGAGCGAUCCGGAGCGAAUCCCAAAAACAACGUCCCAGUUCGGAUCGCAGUCUGCAACUCGACUGCGUGAAGCUGGAAUCGCUAGUAAUCGCGAAUCAGAACGUCGCGGUGAAUGCGUUCCCGGGUCUUGUACACACCGCCCGUCACACCAUGGGAGUCGGAAACGCCCGAAGUCGGUGACCCAACCUUCCAGGAGGGAGCCGCCGAAGGCAGGUCCGAUAACUGGGGUGAAGUCGUAACAAGGUAGCCGUAUCGGAAGGUGCGGCUGGAACACCUCCUU
Molecule: ribosomal RNA, 1511 nt
Filed under: uncultured bacterium
Lineage: Bacteria
Description: bacterial SSU rRNA
Rfam family: Bacterial small subunit ribosomal RNA
Source: RNAcentral